RNAcentral lists this ribosomal RNA (238 nucleotides) under uncultured bacterium. RNAcentral's name for it is "partial 16S ribosomal RNA". It matches the Rfam family "Bacterial small subunit ribosomal RNA", at positions 96 to 334 of the family's 1533-position model. The record is from RNAcentral.
CGGCGGACGGGUGAGUAACGCGUGGGUAACCUACCCUGUACACACGGAUAACAUACCGAAAGGUAAUGCUAAUACGGGAUAAUAUAUUUGAGAGGCAUCUCUUGAAUAUCAAAGGUGAGCCAGUACAGGAUGGACCCGCGUCUGAUUAGCUAGUUGGUAAGUAACGGCUUACCAAGGCGACGAUCAGUAGCCGACCUGAGAGGGUGAUCGGCCACAUUGGAACUGAGACACGGUCCAA